GGGCUGUGCUCAGUGGUAGAGCGCCUGCCUCGCAUGUAUGAGGCACUGGGUUCAAUCCUCAGCAUCACCU
This 70-nucleotide transfer RNA is filed under the name Marmota monax (woodchuck). Its description in RNAcentral is "tRNA.Ala". It matches the Rfam family "tRNA". Rfam says of the family: Transfer RNA (tRNA) molecules are approximately 80 nucleotides in length. Their secondary structure includes four short double-helical elements and three loops (D, anti-codon, and T loops). Further hydrogen bonds mediate the characteristic L-shaped molecular structure. tRNAs have two regions of fundamental functional importance: the anti-codon, which is responsible for specific mRNA codon recognition, and the 3' end, to which the tRNAs corresponding amino acid is attached (by aminoacyl-tRNA synthetases). tRNAs cope with the degeneracy of the genetic code in two manners: having more than one tRNA (with a specific anti-codon) for a particular amino acid; and 'wobble' base-pairing, i.e. permitting non-standard base-pairing at the 3rd anti-codon position. The record is from RNAcentral. Lineage: Eukaryota; Metazoa; Chordata; Mammalia; Rodentia; Sciuridae.